GUCGGGAAUUUUGCACAAUGGGGGAAACCCUGAUGCAGCAACGCCGCGUGAGUGAAGAAGGCCCUUGGGUUGUAAAGCUCUUUCGGCUGGGAAGAAGGGUCCUAAGGUGAAUAAUCUUAGGGUUUGACGGUACCAGAAGAAGAAGCACCUGCUAACUACGUGCCAGCAGCAGCGGUAAUACGUAGGGUGCAAGCGUUGUUCGGAAUUAUUGGGCGUAAAGCGUACGUAGGCGGGUCAGUAAGUCGGAUGUGAAAGCCCUGAGCUUAACUCGGGAAUUGCAUUCGAAACUGCCGAUCUUGAAUGCUUGAGAGGAUGGUGGAAUUCCAGGUGUAGAAGUGAAAUUCGUAGAUAUCUGGAGGAACAUCCGAGGCGAAGGCGGCCAUCUGGCAAGACAUUGACGCUGAGGUACGAAAGCGUGGGGAUCAAACAGGAUUAGAAACCCGGGUAGUCC
This 451-nucleotide ribosomal RNA is filed under the name uncultured bacterium. RNAcentral's name for it is "bacterial SSU rRNA". It matches the Rfam family "Bacterial small subunit ribosomal RNA", at positions 354 to 796 of the family's 1533-position model. The record is from RNAcentral.